UUGCACGCUGGCGGCAGGCCUAACACAUGCAAGUCGAACGGUAACAGAAAGCAGCUUGCUGCUUUGCUGACGAGUGGCGGACGGGUGAGUAAUGUCUGGGAAACUGCCUGAUGGAGGGGGAUAACUACUGGAAACGGUAGCUAAUACCGCAUAACGUCGCAAGACCAAAGAGGGGGACCUUCGGGCCUCUUGCCAUCGGAUGUGCCCAGAUGGGAUUAGCUAGUAGGUGGGGUAACGGCUCACCUAGGCGACGAUCCCUAGCUGGUCUGAGAGGAUGACCAGCCACACUGUAACUGAGACACGGUCCAGACUCCUACGGGAGGCAGCAGUGGGGAAUAUUGCACAAUGGGCGCAAGCCUGAUGCAGCCAUGCCGCGUGUAUGAAGAAGGCCUUCGGGUUGUAAAGUACUUUCAGCGGGGAGGAAGGGAGUAAAGUUAAUACCUUUGCUCAUUGACGUUACCCGCAGAAGAAGCACCGGCUAACUCCGUG
This 489-nucleotide ribosomal RNA is filed under the name uncultured bacterium. RNAcentral's name for it is "partial 16S ribosomal RNA". It matches the Rfam family "Bacterial small subunit ribosomal RNA", at positions 30 to 507 of the family's 1533-position model. The record is from RNAcentral.